UACGUAGGGGGCAAGCGUUGUCCGGAUUUAUUGGGCGUAAAGAGCUCGUAGGCGGUUUGGUAAGUCAGGUGUGAAAUCUCCACGCUCAACGUGGAGGGGCCACCUGAUACUGCCAUGACUGGAGUCCGGUAGAGGAGUGUGGAAUUCCCGGUGUAGCGGUGAAAUGCGCAGAUAUCGGGAGGAACACCGGUGGCGAAGGCGGGUCUCUGGGCCGAUACUGACGCUGAGGAGCGAAAGCGUGGGGAGCGAACAGG
Molecule: ribosomal RNA, 254 nt
Filed under: uncultured bacterium
Lineage: Bacteria
Description: partial 16S ribosomal RNA
Rfam family: Bacterial small subunit ribosomal RNA
Source: RNAcentral